Long non-coding RNA from Salvelinus namaycush (lake trout), 1654 nucleotides. RefSeq lists it as uncharacterized. The transcript has 2 exons. The record is from RefSeq and is a predicted model, not a curated record. Lineage: Eukaryota; Metazoa; Chordata; Actinopteri; Salmoniformes; Salmonidae.
GCGGACAAAGUCACCGGUUGGGAGAAAAAUGUUCCAGAGGAAUAGCGAAUAACUUUGUGAAAUGUUGAAGCACAUCCCUCCCCAUCACCCAGACAGAUGUAAAGAAGUUGGGAACCUCCGGUCCAGCAGGAACAUCACCCUCUCCCAGGAGUUAGUUAGGAGUUUAAUCAGCAGCAUCACUGUGGUUAGAUGGAAGUAGAUCCACACAUUGUUCUCUAUCAUGGAGAAUUGUCCGCUCAUUAUAACUCAUACAGCUCAUUGUAAAAUACAGAUGUGGGUGAUUUCUGUCCCAGGGUACUGCACUGUGUACACGUUUUCUUUCCUGCCAGCCCAGCACAAACACCUUGUUCAACUAUUCAUGGUCCUCAAUGUAGAUCACAAUUAGUUGAAUGAGGUCAGAAAGGGUCUGGAACAAAGAAUACGUAACUGUCAUGAUCCUUCAUGUACCCAACAAGCUUUCGAGUGUUGGAGGUUCAUCCCCUUGAUGUCCCUCACUUGGGGAUGACUUAUUUUCUACAAUGGACUGUGUUCCAAGGGUUCAUGCACAGAUACAGGAAACCAAUAAGAGUUUAUAUUAUUAAAAAUGACCAGUGCUGAUGUCUCCCCACGGUUCUGGUUUGGAGGCUUGGACAGGAUGCAGUUCAUCUGUCUAAUCCCCUGCAAGGAGAAACACAACAAUUGUGGUAUCCUGGGAGGUCUACCCCGGGGGUUGGUGGUGGAGGGGAGGUACGUGCCGUGACGUUGGCUCCCUCUGCUGGGAGUACCCGGAAUGGACACGCUGAUGGCAGCAAUUAGGGGAGAGUACCAACCAGCCGUGCAGGCCGCCUAAAUGGAGCGCUGCGGGGGAGGACAAGCUCCCGGGGUACGGAACCGAAUACGAGGAGGCGGCCCUGAAGAAGGACCUGCCCUGAAGAAGGACCUAAGUUAUGUUAUGUUUAUUUUAUGAUGUCAAGUAAAGGUGUUUUCUGAUAGGGAGGUUCUGUCUCUGUGCACACAAACACAACACGGUUUUACCACAUAAUGUAUUCAUUUAAUAUAUAUUCCUGUUUGAUAUGCAUGCAUAUAAUUAAUUUGGACAUGUUCUCCUUUAUAAUAUGCCAGGGUUUGUUUUGUAUCCAACACAUUUAGCUUACAUUGUGAUGAAGCAGUGUUGUAGGACUCCAGUUCCGUUUCCAGACCACAUAAUGAGUGUCUUGGUGUCGGAUACAUUUGCUUCCAUCUGUCCAAGAGUGUUUCUCAUCCAUUCUCGUCUAAUUCUACUCAUUCGUGAUAUUGGAAUAUUUUGGGAGGUGAUGAUUGACAGUCGACUCCUGAUACUUUGUAUAAGUGAAAUCUCUCUGAAGUGAACUAAAUUUGUUUUUCUAGUCACAAUUCAAUAACAUUCUCCUGAUAACUGCAUUUCCUGGUUUAGUGCAAGCCAGUGUUGUAGUACUCGGAGUCCAGUAUCGAGACCACAAUUUGAGUGUCUCGGUCUUGACUCGGCGUCGGACAUUGAGAACUCAUCAUUUUAAAAACUCCUAAUUAUCAUCUUCCAUUCUGUCAGCGCAUAAAACCGCUUUGUCAAAUAUAGACACUCCUUUUUGAAACAUAUCUUAAGUCUGGAUUGUGAAAUUGUGACUUUUUGUGUGAGUUAAACGUAUGAACUUUAAAACCA